GCGCNGCCUACCAUGCAGUCGAGCGGAUGAAGGGAGCUUGCUCCCUGAUUCAGCGGCGGACGGGUGAGUAAUGCCUAGGAAUCUGCCUGGUAGUGGGGGACAACGUUUCGAAAGGAACGCUAAUACCGCAUACGUCCUACGGGAGAAAGCAGGGGACCUUCGGGCCUUGCGCUAUCAGAUGAGCCUAGGUCGGAUUAGCUAGUUGGUGAGGUAAUGGCUCACCAAGGCGACGAUCCGUAACUGGUCUGAGAGGAUGAUCAGUCACACUGGAACUGAGACACGGUCCAGACUCCUACGGGAGGCAGCAGA
Molecule: ribosomal RNA, 309 nt
Filed under: Pseudomonas sp. CRF
Lineage: Bacteria; Pseudomonadati; Pseudomonadota; Gammaproteobacteria; Pseudomonadales; Pseudomonadaceae
Description: bacterial SSU rRNA
Rfam family: Bacterial small subunit ribosomal RNA
Source: RNAcentral